UGGAAAUAGAGGAAACGGACAAGUAAAAGAGUGUUUGUAAAUUCAUUAACAAUUUGAGCUCGGUGUGAUAAAUUUUCUUUGUCCUGAAGAGCAGGAACACAUGAUGUUGGUGCGAAGAUGAAGUUAACCAAGUAUUCUAGUGCGGAUGAGAAUGCAAUAAGGAGCUUCUAAGAGAAAA
This is a long non-coding RNA of Salvia splendens (bonfire salvia), 178 nucleotides long. RefSeq lists it as uncharacterized. The record is from RefSeq and is a predicted model, not a curated record. The transcript is spliced from 3 exons. NCBI's taxonomy places the organism in Eukaryota, Viridiplantae, Streptophyta, Magnoliopsida, Lamiales, Lamiaceae.